GUGCCUGCUUAGGCACCACAGAUACCAAAGCUGGAAUGUUACACAGUAGAUGAGCAUGGUCCCUGCACAAGGAGGGCAACAAAUUCAUGAGGUGUUCCAUAUUUUU
RNAcentral lists this small nuclear RNA (106 nucleotides) under Castor canadensis (American beaver). Lineage: Eukaryota; Metazoa; Chordata; Mammalia; Rodentia; Castoridae. The record is from RNAcentral.